GUCCAGACUCCUACGGGAGGCAGCAGUGGGGAAUAUUGCACAAUGGGGGAAACCCUGAUGCAGCGACGCCGCGUGAGUGAAGAAGUAUUUCGGUAUGUAAAGCUCUAUCAGCAGGGAAGAAAAUGACGGUACCUGACUAAGAAGCCCCGGCUAACUACGUGCCAGCAGCCGCGGUAAUACGUAGGGGGCAAGCGUUAUCCGGAUUUACUGGGUGUAAAGGGAGCGUAGACGGCAUGGCAAGUCAGAUGUGAAAGCCCGGGGCUCAACCCCGGGACUGCAUUUGAAACUGUCAGGCUGGAGUGCAGGAGAGGUAAGUGGAAUUCCUAGUGUAGCGGUGAAAUGCGUAGAUAUUAGGAGGAACACCAGUGGCGAAGGCGGCUUACUGGACUGUAACUGACGUUGAGGCUCGAAAGCGUGGGGAGCAAGCAGGAUUAGAUACCCUAGUACCC
This 449-nucleotide ribosomal RNA is filed under the name uncultured bacterium. Its description in RNAcentral is "bacterial SSU rRNA". It matches the Rfam family "Bacterial small subunit ribosomal RNA", at positions 329 to 795 of the family's 1533-position model. The record is from RNAcentral.